GAGUGAUCAUUACGCGUAGGGAUGUGAGGCUGCACCGUCCAACAGGCGGCAAGGCUGGAGUAUUUUAUUACCCUUGUCUUUUGCGCACUUGUUGUUUCCUGGGCGGGUUCGCCCGCCUCCAGGACCACAUGAUAAACCUUUUUUAUGCAGUUGCAAUCAGCGUCAGUACAACAAAUGUAAAUCAUUUACAACUUUCAACAACGGAUCUCUUGGUUCUGGCAUCGAUGAAGAACGCAGCGAAAUGCGAUACGUAGUGUGAAUUGCAGAAUUCAGUGAAUCAUCGAAUCUUUGAACGCACAUUGCGCCCUUUGGUAUUCCAAAGGGCAUGCCUGUUCGAGCGUCAUUUGUACCCUCAAGCUUUGCUUGGUGUUGGGCGUUUUUUGUCUUUGGUUUUGUCCAAAGACUCGCCUUAAAACGAUUGGCAGCCGGCCUACUGGUUUCGCAGCGCAGCACAUUUUUGCGCUUGCAAUCAGCAAAAGAGGACGGCACUCCAUCAAGACUCUAUAUCACUUUUGACCUCGGAUCAGGUAGGGAUACCCGCUGAACUUAAGCAUACAUA
This 559-nucleotide ribosomal RNA is filed under the name Curvularia sp. Cm 12. RNAcentral's name for it is "eukaryotic LSU rRNA". The stretch from base 190 to 343 matches the Rfam family "5.8S ribosomal RNA". Lineage: Eukaryota; Fungi; Ascomycota; Dothideomycetes; Pleosporales; Pleosporaceae. The record is from RNAcentral.